RNAcentral lists this ribosomal RNA (253 nucleotides) under uncultured bacterium. RNAcentral's name for it is "partial 16S ribosomal RNA". It matches the Rfam family "Bacterial small subunit ribosomal RNA", at positions 524 to 776 of the family's 1533-position model. The record is from RNAcentral.
UACGUAGGUGGCAAGCGUUGUCCGGAUUUAUUGGGCGUAAAGAGCGUGUAGGCGGCCGUACAGGUCAGCUGUGAAAACUCGAGGCUCAACCUCGAGACGUCGGUUGAAACCGUACGGCUAGAGUCCGGAAGAGGAGAGUGGAAUUCCCGGUGUAGCGGUGAAAUGCGCAGAUAUCGGGAAGAACACCCGUGGCGAAGGCGGCUCUCUGGGACGGUACUGACGCUGAGACGCGAAAGCGUGGGGAGCGAACAGG